This 584-nucleotide ribosomal RNA is filed under the name uncultured bacterium. Its description in RNAcentral is "partial 16S ribosomal RNA". It matches the Rfam family "Bacterial small subunit ribosomal RNA", at positions 355 to 1375 of the family's 1533-position model. The record is from RNAcentral.
UGGGGAAUUUUGGACAAUGGGCGAAAGCCUGAUCCAGCAAUGCCGCGUGUGUGAAGAAGGCCUUCGGGUUGUAAAGCACUUUUGUCCGGAAAGAAAUCCUUGGCUCUAAUACAGUCGGGGGAUGACGGUACCGGAAGAAUAAGCACCGGCUAACUACGUGCCAGCAGCCGCGGUAAUACGUAGGGUGCAAGCGUUAAUCGGAAUUACUGGGCGUAAAGCGUGCGCAGGCGGUUUGCUAAGACCGAUGUGAAAUCCCCGGGCUCAACCUGGGAACUGCAUUGGUGACUGGCAGGCUAGAGUAUGGCAGAGGGGGGUAGAAUUCCACGUGUAGCAGUGAAAUGCGUAGAGAUGUGGAGGAAUACCGAUGGCGAAGGCAGCCCCUGGGCCAAGUACUGACGCUCAUGCACGAAAGCGUGGGGAGCAAACAGGAUUAGAUACCCUGGUAGUCCACGCCCUAAACGAUGUCAACUAGUUGUUGGGGAUUCAUUUCCUUAGUAACGUAGCUAACGCGUGAAGUUGACCGCCUGGGGAGUACGGUCGCAAGAUUAAAACUCAAAGAAUUGACGGGGUCAUAGCUGUUUCCU